AGUCGAGCGAUGAAGUUUCUUCGGAAAUGGAUUAGCGGCGAACGGGUGAGGAACACGUGAAGAAUCUGCCCUCCACUUUGGGAUAACACCGGGAAACCGGUGCUAAUACCGAAUAUUGAAACAUAAGUGGCAUCACUGAGUUUUGAAAGAAUUUCGGUGGAGGAUGACUUCGCGGCCUAUCAGCUAGUUGGUGAGGUAAUGGCUCACCAAGGCAACGACGGGUAGCCGGCCUGAGAGGGCGACCGGCCACACUGGGACUGAGACACGGCCCAGACUCCUACGGGAGGCAGCAGUGGGGAAUAUUGGGCAAUGGAGGAAACUCUGACCCAGCGACGCCGCGUGCGGGAUGAAGGCCUUCGGGUUGUAAACCGCUUUCAGUAGGGAAGAAGCGAAAGUGACGGUACCUACAAAAGAAGCACCGGCUAACUAUGUGCCAGCAGCCGCGGUAAUACAUAGGGUGCAAGCGUUGUCCGGAAUUAUUGGGCGUAAAGAGCUCGUAGGUCGUUUGUUACGUCGGAUGUGAAAACCUGAGGCUCAACCUCAGGCCUGCAUUCGAUACGGGCAAACUAGAGUUUGGUAGGGGAGACUGGAAUUCCUGGUGUAGCGGUGGAAUGCGCAGAUAUCAGGAGGAACACCAAUGGCGAAGGCAGGUCUCUGGGCCAAUACUGACACUGAGGAGCGAAAGUCUGGGGAGCGAACAGGAUUAGAUACCCUGGUAGUCCAGACCGUAAACGGUGGGCACUAGUUGUGGGAACCUUCCCCGGUUUCUGCGACGCAGCUAACGCAUUAAGUGCCCCGCCUGGGGAGUACAAUCGCAAGAUUAAAACUCAAAGGAAUUGACGGGGCCCCGCAC
RNAcentral lists this ribosomal RNA (853 nucleotides) under uncultured bacterium. RNAcentral's name for it is "bacterial SSU rRNA". It matches the Rfam family "Bacterial small subunit ribosomal RNA", at positions 60 to 926 of the family's 1533-position model. The record is from RNAcentral.